CGGCAGCACGGGAGCAAUCCUGGUGGCGAGUGGCGAACGGGUGAGUAAUAUAUCGGAACGUGCCCAGUCGUGGGGGAUAACGCAGCGAAAGCUGUGCUAAUACCGCAUACGAUCUCUGGAUGAAAGCGGGGGACUCGCAAGAGCCUCGCGCGAUUGGAGCGGCCGAUAUCAGAUUAGCUAGUUGGUGGGGUAAAAGCCUACCAAGGCGACGAUCUGUAGCUGGUCUGAGAGGACGACCAGCCACACUGGAACUGAGACACGGUCCAGACUCCUACGGGAGGCAGCAGUGGGGAAUUUUGGACAAUGGGCGAAAGCCUGAUCCAGCAGUGCCGCGUGCAGGAUGAAGGCCUUCGGGUUGUAAACUGCUUUUGUACGGAACGAAACGGUUCGCCUUAAUACGGUGGGCUAAUGACGGUACCGUAAGAAUAAGCACCGGCUAACUACGUGCCAGCAGCCGCGGUAAUACGUAGGGUGCGAGCGUUAAUCGGAAUUACUGGGCGUAAAGCGUGCGCAGGCGGUUAUAUAAGACAGAUGUGAAAUCCCCGGGCUCAACCUGGGACCUGCAUUUGUGACUGUAUAGCUAGAGUACGGUAGAGGGGGAUGGAAUUCC
This 610-nucleotide ribosomal RNA is filed under the name uncultured bacterium. RNAcentral's name for it is "bacterial SSU rRNA". It matches the Rfam family "Bacterial small subunit ribosomal RNA", at positions 67 to 670 of the family's 1533-position model. The record is from RNAcentral.